Non-coding RNA from Ovis aries (sheep), 73 nucleotides. The record is from Rfam. Lineage: Eukaryota; Metazoa; Chordata; Mammalia; Artiodactyla; Bovidae.
CCCCUGGUGGCUCAGAGGUUAAAGCAUCUGCCUGGAAUGCGGGAGACCUAGGUUCGAUCCCUGGGUCGGGAGA